Molecule: ribosomal RNA, 443 nt
Filed under: uncultured bacterium
Lineage: Bacteria
Description: partial 16S ribosomal RNA
Rfam family: Bacterial small subunit ribosomal RNA
Source: RNAcentral
CCUACGUGUGGCAGCAGUGGGGAAUAUUGGGCAAUGGAGGCAACUCUGACCCAGCAACGCCGCGUGAAUGAUGAAGGUCUUCUGAUUGUAAAGUUCUUUUCUAAGGGAAGAAGAAAGUGACGGUACCUUAGGAAUAAGCCUCGGCUAACUACGUGCCAGCAGCUGCGGUAAUACGUAGGAGGCAAGCGGUAUCCGGAAUGACUGGGCGUAAAGGGUGCGUAGGUGGUUUGACAAGUUAGUAGCGCAAAUCCGGAGGUCAACUUCGGAACUACUACGGAAACUGUUGGACUUGAGUGCAGGAGGGGCAAGCGGAAUUCCUAGUGUAGCGGUGGAAUGCGUAGAUAUAAGGAAGAACACCAGAGGCGAAGGCAGAUUACUGGAUUGUAACUGACACUGAGGGACGAAAGCGUGGGGAGCAAACAGGAUUAGAUACCCUUGUAGUC